Molecule: long non-coding RNA, 1383 nt
Filed under: Strongylocentrotus purpuratus (purple sea urchin)
Lineage: Eukaryota; Metazoa; Echinodermata; Echinoidea; Camarodonta; Strongylocentrotidae
Description: uncharacterized LOC115929224
Source: RNAcentral
UGUUUAUGGUGUAGAUUUCAUCAGGAACAAGACACCUAAGUUGAACUCUGGCAAGGUUGUCCAGAAGGUUUGAUACCCAGGCUUCUUUUGUACAAGUCCCUAGUCCACCCUCAUCUUGAGAACUGUUCCGGUGUCUGGGAUCCCUACAACAUCUCAGAUGUCCAGGACGCUUCUUCACAAUGGGGACCCACAAGAGAAGCAACAGUUUGACUGAGAUGAUCAGCACCUUUUAGUUGCCUACUAUAUCUACAACUACAAGGCACUCUGCAAGAAGACUGGGAAUGGUGCGCAAGAUAGUCAAUGGUCUCUCCGCUCUUCCUUGAAAAUUUUCCCACUGCACUACUUAUAGCUAUUUGCGCCCUCUAUAUAGCAAACAAUGCCUAAUCUGUGCCUGUUGGUCCCCCAUGAUCCUCUUUUUCUUAUAUUAAUUGAGAGCUGAUUUGAUGAGAUAACCACCUGUCAGUGACCUUGCAGGGUGGUCUUAUCCCCCUGGCCAAACUAGUACAGACGGGCUUUAACAAAUCACGAGCAGGAAGUACCAUGACAUGACCCUCCAGUUGCACCAAGCCAGAAGCGACAUAGGUAGACAAGUUUGCAUUUGCCCAACACUCUAUCCCAAAGUUAAUGGAACUGACUUCCAGCAAAUAUAGUGCAUGCUGACAGUCCAGAGAACUGCCAGGGACUACUUCUGAGGCAUCUACUCUCCUUAUCCCACUUAGAAACCAUCUGUCUUCCUCACACCACUUGUAAUCUUUAGUAUUAGUUCAUCCUCGUGAUAGGCUACAACGCCUUUUGAAGAUUACCAGAAGAAGAAGAAGAAGAUAUAUCCAGGAUCAUGAAAGUAAUCAUUUGUUCUUUUAAAUGCGUGUACAUGUAACAUUUUUUUUUUAUAUUUAAUCUUAAGUCAAGUUCUGACAACAAUAUGAGGGAUAUGCUGAACUGGAUAGUAAAUUGAAGGGGGGGGGAUAAAGUGAUGUAGUUCAAUAGUAAGACUGUAUUAAUAUAAUUAAUAUUAAUAAUAAUAACAAUAUUAAAAAUAGUAACAAAAAUGACAAUGAUCAUGAUAAUAGCAGUAAUAAUAAUGAUAAUACAGGUAGUAGUAAAAACAAUAAUAAUGUCCAAUGUUAGAUAAAGUACUCAUAAAACUCAGUAUAUACCUGUGCUUUACAUAAUAAAAUAGCAUGUUGGUAUUAUUGAAUAUUUUUUUCUUCAAAAUCUACAGUAAAUUUUUACAACUGAAAGAUUUGAAUUCAAGAGACAGCAUCCCCCCAUCCAUUUUUCAUCCUUUUGUUAAUGUCAUGUUGGAUUUAAAAGACUUUGUAGAAACAAAAUAUGUUGAUAAAUGAGUUCAUAAAUGUUAAUAAAUCAGUUAAUACUGCUGAA